GGUUGAUUAUACUGAUGUGACUGUGUCUUAGAUAUCCCCUGAGCUAUGCAAACUACAAAUUAAGUUGUAAACCAUGAUUCAUAUCAUUGUUUUAAUAAGGAUUGGCCCAAUGCUUCUUGUGAUAUUCUAUUGGUUGAAUAAAGAUCUAUCUAAUCAUAUGAUUGUGUCUUCAAAAUAUGCUUAACUUACCAUUAACUAUAAGCAUGAUCAUUGCAAAACAUUAAUUGUAAAUCAUACCUUACC
RNAcentral lists this long non-coding RNA (243 nucleotides) under Medicago truncatula (barrel medic). Its description in RNAcentral is "long non-coding RNA (MTRU_LNC003509)". The record is from RNAcentral. Lineage: Eukaryota; Viridiplantae; Streptophyta; Magnoliopsida; Fabales; Fabaceae.